AGUGAACGCUGGCGGUAGGCCUAACACAUGCAAGUCGAACGGCAGCACAGUAAGAGCUUGCUCUUACGGGUGGCGAGUGGCGGACGGGUGAGGAAUACAUCGGAAUCUACUUUUUCGUGGGGGAUAACGUAGGGAAACUUACGCUAAUACCGCAUACGACCUACGGGUGAAAGCAGGGGAUCUUCGGACCUUGCGCGAUUGAAUGAGCCGAUGUCGGAUUAGCUAGUUGGCGGGGUAAAGGCCCACCAAGGCGACGAUCCGUAGCUGGUCUGAGAGGAUGAUCAGCCACACUGGAACUGAGACACGGUCCAGACUCCUACGGGAGGCAGCAGUGGGGAAUAUUGGACGAUGGGCGCAAGCCUGAUCCAGCCAUACCGCGUGGGUGAAGAAGGCCUUCGGGUUAAAGCCCUUUUGUUGGGAAAGAAAAGCAGCAGGUUAAUACCCCGCUGUUCUGACGGUACCCAAAGAAUAAGCACCGGCUAACUUCGUG
RNAcentral lists this ribosomal RNA (490 nucleotides) under uncultured bacterium. Its description in RNAcentral is "partial 16S ribosomal RNA". It matches the Rfam family "Bacterial small subunit ribosomal RNA", at positions 29 to 507 of the family's 1533-position model. The record is from RNAcentral.